RNAcentral lists this ribosomal RNA (515 nucleotides) under uncultured bacterium. RNAcentral describes it as "partial 16S ribosomal RNA". It matches the Rfam family "Bacterial small subunit ribosomal RNA", at positions 28 to 523 of the family's 1533-position model. The record is from RNAcentral.
GAUGAACGCUGGCGGCGUGCCUAAUACAUGCAAGUCGAGCGAAUGGAUUAAGAGCUUGCUCUUAUGAAGUUAGCGGCGGACGGGUGAGUAACACGUGGGUAACCUGCCCAUAAGACUGGGAUAACUCCGGGAAACCGGGGCUAAUACCGGAUAACAUUUUGAACCGCAUGGUUCGAAAUUGAAAGGCGGCUUCGGCUGUCACUUAUGGAUGGACCCGCGUCGCACUAGCUAGUUGGUGAGGUAACGGCUCACCAAGGCAACGAUGCGUAGCCGACCUGAGAGGGUGAUCGGCCACACUGGGACUGAGACACGGCCCAGACUCCUACGGGAGGCAGCAGUAGGGAAUCUUCCGCAAUGGACGAAAGUCUGACGGAGCAACGCCGCGUGAGUGAUGAAGGCUUUCGGGUCGUAAAACUCUGUUGUUAGGGAAGAACAAGUGCUAGUUGAAUGAGCUGACACCUUGACGGUACCUAACCAGAAAGCCACGGCUAACUACGUGCCAGCCGCCGCGGUAA